This is a long non-coding RNA of Podarcis raffonei (Aeolian wall lizard), 590 nucleotides long. RefSeq lists it as uncharacterized. The record is from RefSeq and is a predicted model, not a curated record. The transcript is spliced from 2 exons. NCBI's taxonomy places the organism in Eukaryota, Metazoa, Chordata, Lepidosauria, Squamata, Lacertidae.
CCCACAGCGCCACCUGCGUCCCUUGUUUCAUAUUACCAGUCAAAAAUUCUCCAUACUUCUGAGGAGGAAGAAAAGGCCACUCUGCAUGAACUGCUACUUCAGACCACCUUGCAGAGAGGAAGGUUUAAGGUGUAGUAGCAGAGAAAAUGACUAUAUAUUAAAAAUGUUCUGGAGCCUUAGCAAAUCCUCUGUAAAAGGUAGUACAAUGUAAAUGAAGAACCCCACAUAAGAGAAGUAAGCUAUAUAUCCUACCAAGCUUCUUCUGAAUGGCUUCUAAUAUGCUAUCCGAGUCACACAGCAUGCAAGGCGUAGUGGUGCAGAUCUGAAUAUGGUAUUUCCCAACGGGUUUACGAUUAUACAUUGUAUAAAAGGUUGCUACUUCAUAAACUCUCAUGGGAGGUAUGUCUAGAAUCUCAGCAACCUGUAACAAUAAAAGACUGUUUUAUUUUUUCAGGACAUAAAAUGAGCAGUUUCAACUAACACCAACAUUUUGAAAAGCAAUUAUAAUGCCAGCGAUGAUAUGAAUCCUUGUAUUUCUUAACCAACAAUUCCCUCCCCAAAAAAAUGUGAUAGUAAAUGUGCAUUUUUUU